Molecule: ribosomal RNA, 685 nt
Filed under: uncultured bacterium
Lineage: Bacteria
Description: bacterial SSU rRNA
Rfam family: Bacterial small subunit ribosomal RNA
Source: RNAcentral
GGCUCAGAACAAACGCUGGCGGCGUGCCUAAUACAUGCAAGUCGAACGAUGUAGCAAUACAGAGUGGCGCACGGGAGAGUAACACGUGGAUAAUCUUCCUUUUAGUGGGGAACAACUUUCCGAAAGGAAAGCUAAUACCGCAUAAGACCACAGUGACUGCGGUCACAGGGGUUAAAGGUGGAACCUUCGGGUCUAUCGCUAAAAGAUGAGUCUGCGCUCGAUUAGCUAGUUGGCGGGGUAAUGGCCCACCAAGGCGACGAUCGAUAGCUGGUCUGAGAGGAUGACCAGCCUCACUGGAACUGAGACACGGUCCAGACUCCUACGGGAGGCAGCAGUAGGGAAUAUUGCACAAUGGGGGAAACCCUGAUGCAGCGACGCCGCGUGAGUGAUGAAGGCCUUCGGGUCGUAAAGCUCUGUUGUACGGGAAGAAAAGCUCAUGACUAAUAAUCAUGAGUUUUGACGGUACCGUAUCAGAAAGGACCGGCUAACUUCGUGCCAGCAGCCGCGGUAAUACGAGGGGUCCUAGCGUUGUUCGGAAUCACUGGGCGUAAAGCGUAUGUAGGCGGCUUUCUAAGUCGGAUGUGAAAUCCCAUGGCUCAACCAUGGAAUUGCAUUCGAAACUGGAAAGCUUGAGUGUGGGAGAGAUUGGUAGAAUACCUGGUGUAGUGGUGAAAUACGUAGAUAU